GCCAGAUUCCUUUAUCCCACCCUGAACUUCCCCUAGGUCACUGCAGCUUCAGCCCAAAGCAAGUGGCAAGCCAGGAGCCUGCAGCACCACUGGCAGAGGCCUUCACGACUGAAGGACAAAUCUGGAAGACAGCAUCCAAGGAACCAACUCAUUGUGCACAAUGCCACAUGACAAGAUGAUGGGGACAGUUCAGGUUUUCAUAGUCUCUGUCCUCUGUUGCAAGGCUUUAGUUACCUUUCUGCUACUACGUGAUCUUUCCCAGCAAGCUCUGCAGAAGAGCAGUGGCUGUGGAGAGGAUAAGAUGCCAUCUCUAAGACAGACUUUAUGAAUUGUUGUUGGGGCUUGAUAAUUUUUCAGUCACCUUAAACAGUCUUUUUCCUUCCUGCUCUUCUUCAUUCUAAUCACUCGGGAUUUCAAUGGAUUCAAGUCAUGGAGAGAUAAAAGAAUGAAUGUGAAUAGCAAGAUUUUGUCUCCUGUGUCUCAAGCAGAAGCAAGCUUCCUCCUGAGCAAGGCUGUUCUUUUCAGGGUGGGGAAGGGUAAGAUUUUUGUUUUUGUUUUGUUUCACUCAGUAUCCAAAUGCCAAAUAAUGAACUUCAUGUGAUAUCAGCUCAGGGAUCCCAAGCAUAGAGUUAUAGGGUUCCAUCCCACAGUGCAGUUUCUUGCAGCCAUCCCUUAGACGUGUGACACUGGACGCGCUAAUUUCCCUGCAGCUGGUGGGAGCCAACCUCCAGAUCUCUGUGCUGCUUUUAAUAACAGAGUGAGGAAAUCUCUUUGUAGAUAGAACUUUAGAGACAAAAUGCUUAAACACAGAGAGUGAUCAGCUUCUUGACCUCAGGCCAGUUUGCAGGGUGGAGAAUUAGGUCCAUGCUGAGAUCUGAAAGUCACUUAAUGAAGCAACUAGAAAGGC
This is a long non-coding RNA of Poecile atricapillus (Black-capped chickadee), 907 nucleotides long. RefSeq lists it as uncharacterized. The record is from RefSeq and is a predicted model, not a curated record. NCBI's taxonomy places the organism in Eukaryota, Metazoa, Chordata, Aves, Passeriformes, Paridae. The transcript is spliced from 3 exons.